UACUGGGAAAUACUUAUUUGCUCUUGACUCAUGAUUGGUGUAUUUCUUAUUGGCAACAAAAUGAAACAGAAACUAAUGUUAGAGUUGUUGUUACUGCAAUUCUUUGCACAUCUUAGAGUUGUUUUUUAAUAAGGAAUUGCACAUCUUAGAGUUGUUAGAAGUAUUAUUAUAUUUUCUGAAAGUACAUCUUGUAGAUUGGCCCUUUCCCAAAUCCCGUGCAUAGUGAAAAUUUUAGUGCAUCGGCUGUCUUUUUCACGUCUUAAGAUUAUUACUUUCAAAUCUGAGUAUUUGAUUUUCUGUUUUCAGAAAAACAUGUUGCAGGGUAAUUCAAUUAAUAUCGCCCAUACAUAAAUUACAAUGAUGGUAGUAAAUUUUACUCUCCUCUGAGAAAACACAUCCAAGAAGCUUCGGAGCUAUGAAAAUGACCAAGAACUGUUCAAAAGGUUUUGAAGUAGCACAAAGUUUUCUUUUUGAAUCUUAUGCGCUAAGAGACUGUGUUUUCAUGCUUUUGUCCAACUCAGCAUAAUAGGUGAAAAUAAUUACGGGAAAAAAAAUUUAGGAGUGUAAUAGGAGCUUCUUAAAGGAAAGGUGUGUAAUUAAAAGAAUGAUGAUAGGAUAAGGGAGUAGUUAUGCAUUUUGCCAAAAGUUUAGGGGGGUAAUAGGACCUUCUUAAAGAAAAGGUGUGUAAUUGAAAAUAUGAUGACUGAGUAAGGGGUAGUUAUGCAUUUUGCCGGAAAAAAAUUUAAAUAUAUCCCAUGAAUGAGAUAGAAAACAUGCAACAAUAAGCAGACGUAUCGAGCUACAAAUUAGCCUCCUGACCAACCUCCUAUCUGACUCUUCCUUGUAGGGGCGAAACAAAGCUUUAUCACUGUUGCAAGUAGGGCUGGCAAUUUCAGCCCAUAUUUGUGAAAAGAGUCUAUUUAACCCAUAUUUAUUGAAUUGGAUCACUCAUAUUUCAAAUGGGUAAAUAUGGACUUCAGAUCAUUUUAAAAGCUCAUACAAAUAUGGACAAAAUGGGUAAAAUAUAGGUACCCAUUUUUUUUUUCUGUUCUAGUUUUUUUUCUUCUUCUUUUUUGUUUUUCUUUCUUUUUUCCUUUAAUUUACUUUUUUGCUUUUUCAUUUUUUACUCGUUUCAUAUAAUUUAUUUUUUUCUUUCUCAUUUUUUCAUCUAUUUUUUUUCUUUUUUCUUUAUAUUUUUUUUCGUUUUCCCCUUCCUCAUUCUUAUUUGAUCAUUCAUAUUCGCUUGAGAGCUACAUGGGUUAAUUAAUUU
Molecule: long non-coding RNA, 1270 nt
Filed under: Capsicum annuum
Lineage: Eukaryota; Viridiplantae; Streptophyta; Magnoliopsida; Solanales; Solanaceae
Description: long non-coding RNA (CANN_LNC012578)
Source: RNAcentral